This 22-nucleotide microRNA is filed under the name Branchiostoma floridae (Florida lancelet). Its description in RNAcentral is "Bfl-Let-7-P4_3p* (star (passenger))". The record is from RNAcentral. RNAcentral also lists the same sequence under 2 other names. Lineage: Eukaryota; Metazoa; Chordata; Leptocardii; Amphioxiformes; Branchiostomatidae.
CUGUGCAACCUGCUAGCUCUCC